RNAcentral lists this long non-coding RNA (241 nucleotides) under Manihot esculenta (cassava). RNAcentral's name for it is "long non-coding RNA (MESC_LNC006909)". Lineage: Eukaryota; Viridiplantae; Streptophyta; Magnoliopsida; Malpighiales; Euphorbiaceae. The record is from RNAcentral.
CAGAAAAUGGAUAUGGGGCCAUGUCCUAAGGUCCAUUCCCUGCAGCUGAGGAAAGAGUAUCCUUUAUUAGCUUUUAAUAAUUGUUGCUCUCUCUCUCUCUCUCUCUCUCUCUCUCUCUCUCUCUCUCUCCACACACACACACACAUACUUGCAUGUGUGUGAAAGUGCAUGCAUGCUUUCAUUCUCUGUGUUCAGUUAUGAUCAGUUUAAAGAGCCCAAUUGUUUAUUCCUGUAGUUUUAC